Quercus lobata is the source of this 1664-nucleotide RNA transcript. It is a transcript of the gene named F-box/LRR-repeat protein 25-like, with no coding region annotated. The transcript has 4 exons. The record is from RefSeq and is a predicted model, not a curated record. NCBI's taxonomy places the organism in Eukaryota, Viridiplantae, Streptophyta, Magnoliopsida, Fagales, Fagaceae.
UGUAAUGGGUUUUUUUUUUUUCCUCACAAAGGUUUUUUUGGGUUUCCAGCAAAAAAAUCUCUCCAGCUCCCUGUCAUUGAAUAACCUUUUUUUUUUCUUUCCCUGAUUUUGUUUGCAGCUCUAUAUUCAUUUAAAUGGAGAAGACAGUUCAACCUUCCAAUAAGUGCAAGAGGAACCAUGUGGGUUUGGAGGAUAGGAUAAGUCGGUUCCCAGACGAAAUACUAGUCUCUAUUCUGUCUUUCUUGACUUUUGAAGAAGCAGUCAGAACUAGUGUUCUUUCGCACCGAUGGAAACAUCUGUGGCCAUUCUUCACUGGUAGUUUGGACUUUGAUGAUCCGGAUACAAUGUGGGACAUUGCGGACGAAAAGAAACAAUUGAAAGUCGAAAGGAAUAAUUUUGCGAAAAGGGUGAACCGUAUUCUAAAAUUACAUCAAGGCUCAAAUAUAGACGAGUUCAGAGUAUGUUUUGAGUUUAAUAGAUAUUCUAAACAUCGCAUUGAUGGAUGGAUUGACUUUGCAAUGUCAAAGAGAGUUAAGAGGCUUGAAUUGGACUUUACACCAACAUGGGUAUGCAAGAGUCAAAUGCGUUAUACAUUUCCACAUGAACGGUUUACAAAACUUGAAAGUUCUGUUGGAGUAUCUUGCAUCGAGUCCCUGAUGUCCCUCACUCUAAUGAAUGUACGUGUAACUGGCAAGCUUCUUGAGCACUUGCUAUCCAAUUGUCCCUUGCUUGAAAGAUUACAUGUCUCUGAUUCUGAUGAUCUAGUGACUUUGAAGGUUUGUGGUUCAUCACUGCGGUUGAAGUACUUACACAUAAUACAUUGUUUAGAAUUUAAAAGUAUUGAGAUUUUUGCACCAAAUCUUGAGUCUUUGGGCCUCGUUGGUAGACAAACCGAGAUGCAUGUUAAUCAUGCACCUUGUCUGCUAGAUGUACGUAUAGGGGGAAGCAAACCUGUGAAUUUUGCAAUUUGCCCUCUUUCAAGCUACCUUCUCAGCUACAGAGUUUGAUACUUCACAUUUGCAUUUAUCCAAUUGAAAAAUUGGAAUUCUUGAAAUUUCAACCAUUAACCAAUCUUAGAAACCUCAAAUGGAGAGUUACUGCAUCUGAUGGAGAGAGCCUUGUCUAUUUAAUAUCAAUGGUAGAAGCAGCACCUUUCUUACAGAAAUUUACUUUGGAGUUGUUAUGGAGUAAACCCCUGAUAGAAAGAGAAUUUAGGAAGGUGAUGAAAUAUCCAAAUGAGCACCUCAAGGAGGUGGAAAUAAUGGGGUUUGUGGGGCGUGCAAUAGACAUGGAGCUUACCGUUUACUUACUUGAAAGUGCCAUCAAACUUGAGAAGAUUGUUAUUAAUCCUCGAUCUCCAGCUCUUGUGGGAACCCCUUGGGAGUUUGAGACGACUGAGAAAAAUGAAGGAGCUAUAGAAUGUGCCAACCAACUCAAGAAAAAUCUACCUCAAGGAGCUGAAUUACUUGUACUUUAAUCAUUGUCAUUAAUAUUAGCUUAAGUGGUGUUGUUUGCUAGGUACCAGUUGAUAUAUAUAGAGAGAGAGACUACAAAUUAAUUGUUAAAAUGUGAUGAUUGUCUUUUUACUGUUAUCAUUGUAAGUACUUAAUGAUGGGCAAUAUGAAUUGCAAUAGCUAAUGCUGACAAUCUCCAUUUUAAUUUAA